CCUACGGGAGACAGCAGUGGGGGAUAUUGCACAAUGGGGGAAACCCUGAUGCAGCGACGCCGCGUGGGUGAAGAAGCGCCUCGGCGCGUAAAGCCCUGUCAGCAGGGAAGAAAAUGACGGUACCUGAAGAAGAAGCCCCGGCUAACUACGUGCCAGCAGCCGCGGUAAUACGUAGGGGGCAAGCGUUAUCCGGAUUUACUGGGUGUAAAGGGGGCGCAGACGGCGAUGCAAGCCAGGAGUGAAAGCCCGGGGCCCAACCCCGGGAUUGCACUUGGAACUGCGUGGCUAGAGUGCAGGAGGGGCAGGCGGAAUUCGUGGUGUAGCGGUGAAAUGCGUAGAUAUCAGGAGGAACACCGGUGGCGAAGGCGGCCUGCUGGACUGCAACUGACGUUGAGGCCCGAAAGCGUGGGGAGCAAACAGGAUUAGAUACCCGAGUAGUC
This 440-nucleotide ribosomal RNA is filed under the name uncultured bacterium. Its description in RNAcentral is "partial 16S ribosomal RNA". It matches the Rfam family "Bacterial small subunit ribosomal RNA", at positions 338 to 795 of the family's 1533-position model. The record is from RNAcentral.